RNAcentral lists this long non-coding RNA (1223 nucleotides) under Homo sapiens (human). Its description in RNAcentral is "HSALNT0407829". The record is from RNAcentral. Lineage: Eukaryota; Metazoa; Chordata; Mammalia; Primates; Hominidae.
GAGACUCUGUCUCAAAAAAAAAAAAAAAAAAAAAAAAAAAAAAAAGAAAAGAAAAUUGAAAGGGAGGAACAAUCCUCCACUCACUGUAUGAGCUUGGCAUAACCUCAAUACCAAAUCCUGCAAGGACACCUAGAGAAACAUUGCAGGUCAAUCACAUGCUCGUGACAUAGAAGUAAAAAUUGGAAGCAGAAUCUUAGCACACGGAAGCCUACAGGAUAUAAAAAGGAAAAUACCUAAUAUGGCAUGACUAAUAUUGGCUUCAUCCCAGAAAUACGAACUUAAUUUCUCUUCAGAAAAUACAGUGGUAUAAUUCCCCACAUUAACAGAUUCGGGGAGACAAACAUGCUCUUCGUAGUCACAAAAGGUAUUGACUAAAUGUCAAUUUCCAUUUGAGAUGUAUUGCUGACAAUUUUUUUUUUCUAAAAAGUCAGGACUAUUGGGCUAUAACUUACACAGAGGUCUGUGAGAUCUCGUAAAUGCGUAUGGCUGUAAAAACACCAGCACAAUAUAUAUAGAUAUAGAGCAUCGCCAUCCCCCGCCCCCCUCCCCCGCCAGGUUCCCUUACGUCCUCUUGUACUGAACUCCUCGUCUUAACCCUCAGACCCUGGCAACCAUCAAUCUGUUUUGUGUUCCUAGAGUUUUGCCUUUUCCAGAAUGUCAUAUAAAUGGAAUCACACGGUACGUAGCAUGUGCAUUUGGCUUCCUUCAGAGAAAGACACUCGGACUGCGAUUCUCUAAAGGUGCAAUGUACAGUUUCAUGACCUGGGUAGUAGUUACCUGGCUUGAUCACCUUACAACUGUUUGUCAGAUGGCGGGCUUCUGAGUUCUCUCCGUGUGUGUGUGUGUGCGUGUGUGUGUGUGUGUAUCAUGUUUCAAACAUAUAAUUUUACAUUUAACUGCCUCUAACUUUUAUAUGUUGGUGAGGGUUAUUAAAUGACAAUUAUUAAUACUUAAAGGGAAGUGAGUGAUUAUUGUAAAAGCCAGCAGAGUCAUUUCCUCUGGGGUGUGCAAAGCGGGAGGUAGUGAUCAGGAUGGGGCAAACAGGAGGGUUCCAAAACCCUGCCAACCUUCUGUUCCUCGCUCUGCAUGGUAGUGACCUGGACUUCAACAUUGCACAACCACAUGGGCGCCGUUCACGCUGGAUCACGAGAACAGAGCACCCUGGAAUCCCACAGAUAGAUGUGGCCACCCUGGCGGCCACAGCCUACGCGGCCGUACCUGGC